Molecule: long non-coding RNA, 1399 nt
Filed under: Homo sapiens (human)
Lineage: Eukaryota; Metazoa; Chordata; Mammalia; Primates; Hominidae
Description: HSALNT0295244
Source: RNAcentral
UUGUACACUCUUGUGCCAACUGCUUUGAUAGUAACAAAAUGUAUUUCUCGAACUCCUAGGUAUAAAACUCAAGUAUCCACUAUUUAAAUUCUUUUUUGCUCACUUCUAGUAUGUUUCCAGUCUCAAUAGAAAUCGAUGCCAAUCCAGAAAUACAAGCAUUAUUCUAAUACUUCUCACACAUUACUGGAGUGAGGACACAGCGAAAGUGAGACAAGGAAAAGAGAACAAAAUAAAACAGGAAAGACAGAAAAGCCAAUACCACACGUGUUAAGAGUUUCAAGGAAAAUAUGUUGGGAGUUCCUGGCAUAGAGAAUGUCACAAAGACAUGUUUUCAAUAGUAGUGCUAUCCCGAGGGCAGAGAAGACCCAGAGAAAGCCCAAGUGGCUGCUGGAACAAAAUCAGACACCGUGCCACCUGUCCACACUCCUUGGCUCUGCCAUCAUGCUGAAGAUCGCUUUAAAGGACUGGCUUCCCUCCCCCCAAAAUUAAAAGAGCACAGACUGAGAAACUGAAUGUGGGAGACAGCAGUGGAUUAUGCUGUUCUCAGGGGUCACCUCAGGUUUGGAAGCAUUCUUUCAAAUUAACCCAUCUCAGGCCAUCUGCAGAGAAGAAAGGUGGUACCUAACUUUUUUUCUUGUCGGCAUUUGGUAGGGGUGUUUUAUUGACCAAAUAUGUUCCCACAACCUAGUUUUUUGUGACUAACUAAAUAUAGUAGAGUUUUAAAUUUUAUCAUCAAAAUCUAUAGACAAUUUUUGAUGAAAAUAGACUCCAUCUCUAUGUCCUGCUUUUCUUCUUCUUAUUAAUUACAUUGCUGUAUAAAAGAACAAGACUUCAGCAUCAAGAAUAUCUUGUCUCUUGGCAUUGAAUUUAUACAAGGUGCUCUUUCUUUAAUGCUGUCUCAAAGGACAUAUUUUUACUCAUUAAAAAGGAAGAUCGGAAUCUAGUUGUAUGCACUGCUCCAACAUAUUAAUAAUUAAAAUUAGGAGGUAAAUGUGGUCAAAGCUAUAGAAAGACUGAGAUGUCAUUUAUAUGGAUUACUCUAUAGCACUCUACAAACAGAAAUUGUUAAAUAAUAGUUUAUAUAAAUAUUUUGUAGCAUUUCAAAUAUUUGAGUGCUUGAAGUUUCUCCUCUUCUAUAGUUCAGAUUAUCAAUUUGAAGACUUACUCCGCUAGUUAAUAUGUUUUUAGUCUCGUUUGAGUAUUAUAUAAAAGCAAUUUUCAGUUAAAUGUGUUCCGCUUACAUAAAACGUUACAAAUUAUUGAGGAUUUAAUUACUUAUUCAUGUUCCUGUAAUGUCUUUAGAAGAUUUUCUUAUUAUUACCUAUCAAUAUAUGUAUGCUUUGUCAAAGAAAAAUCAAACAUAUAUAUCAUUGAAAUUGAAACUUUUUAAAAGUACUUA